This 448-nucleotide ribosomal RNA is filed under the name uncultured bacterium. RNAcentral's name for it is "partial 16S ribosomal RNA". It matches the Rfam family "Bacterial small subunit ribosomal RNA", at positions 329 to 797 of the family's 1533-position model. The record is from RNAcentral.
UGCCAGACUCCUACGGGAGGCAGCAGUGGGGGAUAUUGCACAAUGGGGGGAACCCUGAUGCAGCGACGCCGCGUGGGUGAAGAAGCGCCUCGGCGCGUAAAGCCCUGUCAGCAGGGAAGAAAAUGACGGUACCUGAAGAAGAAGCCCCGGCUAACUACGUGCCAGCAGCCGCGGUAAUACGUAGGGGGCAAGCGUUAUCCGGAUUUACUGGGUGUAAAGGGGGCGCAGACGGCGAUGCAAGCCAGGAGUGAAAGCCCGGGGCCCAACCCCGGGACUGCUCUGGAAACUGUGCAGCUAGAGUGCAGGAGAGGCAGGCGGAAUUCCUAGUGUAGCGGUGAAAUGCGUAGAUAUUAGGAGGAACACCGGUGGCGAAGGCGGCCUGCUGGACUGUAACUGACGUUGAGGCUCGAAAGCGUGGGGAGCAAACAGGAUUAGAUACCCGCGUACA